This 730-nucleotide ribosomal RNA is filed under the name uncultured bacterium. Its description in RNAcentral is "bacterial SSU rRNA". It matches the Rfam family "Bacterial small subunit ribosomal RNA", at positions 28 to 776 of the family's 1533-position model. The record is from RNAcentral.
GAUGAACGCUGACAGAAUGCUUAACACAUGCAAGUCGACUUGAAGCAACUUCGGUUGUGGAAAGUGGCGGACGGGUGAGUAACGCGUAAAGAACUUGCCCUUCAGUCUGGGACAACCAUUGGAAACGAUGGCUAAUACCGGAUAUUAUGGAACUCUCGCAUGGGAGGAUCAUGAAAGCUAUAUGCGCUGAAGGAGAGCUUUGCGUUCCAUUAGCUAGUUGGUGAGGUAACGGCUCACCAAGGCGACGAUGGAUAGCCGGCCUGAGAGGGUGAUCGGCCACAAGGGGACUGAGACACGGCCCUUACUCCUACGGGAGGCAGCAGUGGGGAAUAUUGGACAAUGGACCAAAAGUCUGAUCCAGCAAUUCUGUGUGCACGAUGAAGGUUUUCGGAUCGUAAAGUGCUUUCAGUUGGGAAGAAGAAAGUGACGGUACCAACAGAAGAAGCGACGGCUAAAUACGUGCCAGCAGCCGCGGUAAUACGUAUGUCGCAAGCGUUAUUCGGAUUUAUUGGGCGUAAAGCGCGUCUAGGCGGAUUCAUAAGUCUGAUGUUAAAAUGCGGGGCUCAACUCCGUAUUGCGUUGGAAACUGUGAAUCUAGAGUAUCAGAGAGGUGGGCGGAACUACAAGUGUAGAGGUGAAAUUCGUAGAUAUUUGUAGGAAUGCCGAUGGAGAAGUCAGCUCACUGGAUGAAUACUGACGCUAAAGCGCGAAAGCGUGGGUAGCAAACAGG